RNAcentral lists this transfer RNA (73 nucleotides) under Candidatus Woesearchaeota archaeon. RNAcentral's name for it is "tRNA-Pro". It matches the Rfam family "tRNA". Rfam says of the family: Transfer RNA (tRNA) molecules are approximately 80 nucleotides in length. Lineage: Archaea; Nanobdellati; Candidatus Woesearchaeota. The record is from RNAcentral.
GGGGCUGUAGUGUAGCUUGGUAUCACUGGCGGUUCGGGGCCGCCCAACCGGGGUUCGAAUCCUCGCAGCCCCA